GACGAACGCUGGCGGCGUGCUUAACACAUGCAAGUCGAACGGUGAAGGGGCCUGCUUUUGUGGGCCCUGGAUGAGUGGCGAACGGGUGAGUAACACGUGAGUAACCUGCCCCCUUCUUCUGGAUAACCGCAUGAAAGUGUGGCUAAUACGGGAUAUUCUGGGUCUGUCGCAUGAUGGGUCUGGGAAAGAUUGCGCCUUUGGAUGUUUUUGGUGGGGGAUGGGCUCGUGGCCUAUCAGCUUGUUGGUGGGGUGAUGGCCUACCAAGGCGGGGACGGGUAGCCGGCCUGAGAGGGUGGACGGUCACACUGGGACUGAGACACGGCCCAGACUCCUACGGGAGGCAGCAGUGGGGAAUAUUGCACAAUGGGCGCAAGCCUGAUGCAGCGACGCCGCGUGAGGGAUGGAGGCCUUCGGGUUGUAAACCUCUUUCGCCAGUGAAGCAGGCCUGCUCCUUGUGGGUGGGUUGACGGUAGCUGGAUAAGAAGCGCCGGCUAACUACGUG
This 502-nucleotide ribosomal RNA is filed under the name uncultured bacterium. Its description in RNAcentral is "partial 16S ribosomal RNA". It matches the Rfam family "Bacterial small subunit ribosomal RNA", at positions 28 to 507 of the family's 1533-position model. The record is from RNAcentral.